AGUUCCAGCCGUGACUGCCACUGAGGACGGCAGAGCAGCAUGGUACCAUCUGAUCCUAGAGACUGUCAUUCCCAUUUCACGCAAGAGGAAACUGAGGCACAGGUGUGUAGGUCACUUGCCCAGGGCUGAGAUGUGAACACACACUUGGGGUCUGUCUGACCCCAAAGCUCACACAAACCACCAUGCUCUGGAACGCCCGGGCUUCAUGUUGCCCCGUCCCCCACUUAGCUCUCUGCAGCCUCUAGGACCCCCAGGCGUGGCAGAUUCACAGCAGUGAGGCCUGGCACCUGCCCCCCCAACCCAUCCCGGCAGACCCAGGUGACGGGUGUAACCCUCAUGCACCUGUGAUCUGCUCUUGCCUCCCCCGGGGUUCCAACGCACAGGAGAGAGGAGCUGGCACACCCUGGCCACAUCUGGAAGGUGAACUCGUGCUCAGAGUGGCGAGUGGCAGGACAUGUGGGCCCUGAGGGAGUGGGCAGCCAGAGGGAACAUGCCCGGUGAGGGACGGCCUCGGGCCACUCUCGACUGGGACCCCUGGAUAAAGCCCCCAGGCCGGGAACUUCCUCUGCACGUGGCAGCCCCUCGACUUCCAGAGUGUGUCCUCAUGAGCCACCUCAUGUGAUCCCCACACCCACUGAGCUGGCACCCAAGGGCUAUGGGGGGCCAACCCUCUCUGGUGGAGAGGACAGUGGCCCUCGCUGGCUACACGUGUGGUGACAGGUGGGGCCUCGGGAUAAUCCCAGCCCAGACACUGGGGGAUCUAUGCUCUGGGCCCCCCUCUACCCACCUCAUUGGUUGUGGGACACUGGGGGACUGGGGAGGGGUGGGCAGAGAGACCGCCACUGCCCAAAAAAGCCCCCCAGUUCCGGAAAUCCAGGAACAAUGUGGGUGACAGGCAGCAGCUGUGGGAGCCCUGGGGCCCCGGCUUUGCUGCUCCGACUCUCCACCUCUCC
RNAcentral lists this long non-coding RNA (953 nucleotides) under Homo sapiens (human). Its description in RNAcentral is "non-protein coding lnc-CLSTN1-7:2". Lineage: Eukaryota; Metazoa; Chordata; Mammalia; Primates; Hominidae. The record is from RNAcentral.